ACAAUGCCUAUACAGGCAAAGGCCAAAAAGUGCUACAUCUCUUCAAUCAUCUCUUCUUGUUUUGAAAGAACGAAUUCAGCAUCUGCAUCGAGUUCUUCAUUCUGUAAUUGCUGGGCAAGUUUUGCAGAUUUUCUCAUGUUGAUUGGGCAUUGCUUUGCAUAGUGGCAUUUCUUCUUACAAAUGAAAUAGCGAGGGGAUUUGUCAUGUCCCCGGCCAGCCAAAUCCCCUCUUUCCCUCUUCUAUUGCGGCCCUAAUCUACCGCCGUGAAGCCUUGCUGCACAAGAGCCUUGCACAAAUGAAGCCUUGCGCCCUACUGUUUGUGAACUGAAUCUGUCGUCGUGAAGGUAAGAAGCCCAAAAAUCCUGCUGCAUGAGAAGCCUUGUGCCCAACCAAAUCCCCUUUCCCUCUUCUAAUCUUCCGCUGUGAAGCCUUGCGGCACAAUAGCCAUGCACAAAUGAAGCCUUCCGCCCUGCUGUUUGUGAAUUGAAUCUGCCGCCGUGAAGCCAAGAAGCCCAAAAACCUUGCGGCACGAGAAGCCUUGCGCCCUUGUUGCUGUGAAGCUGUUCGUGAAUCUGCCGCCGUGAAGCCCUUUUAGCCGCGAGUCUCUCUCUCUCUCUCUCUCUCUCUCUCAUAAACGCAAUAAACCGAGACUGAUGUCGCACUAGAAGGGUCGCGCGUUCUGUGCAGGACGACCAACAAGAGCAAGAGGCUUGGUAUAGAUCUAUCAAGUGUCUGGGCGUAUGAUAGCUUAUGGGGGUCAUUUCUCUUCUGGGAGUUAUUCCUUUUCUGAGGCAUUGCAAUCUCACAUUGAUGUCAAUGAUUAUUUCGACCACGGCUACGACCAUGUCCACGACCAUGCCUAUGGCCUCCUCCUCAAUCACAAGAUGCAUUCAUAUUCACUUCAGGGAAUGGGGUCGAACCAAUUGGACGAAUUUGGCGAUUUUUCACCAAAAGUUCGUUAUUUUGCUCAGCAACAAGAAGACAUGAUAUAUGUUCAGAAAAUUUAGUAAAUUUCCUUUCCCUAUAUUGUUAUUGCAUGAGCACAUUAGUGGGAUGAAAAGUAAUAAAAGUUUUUUCUAGCA
Molecule: long non-coding RNA, 1082 nt
Organism: Malania oleifera
Lineage: Eukaryota; Viridiplantae; Streptophyta; Magnoliopsida; Santalales; Ximeniaceae
Exons: 3
Source: RefSeq, a predicted model, not a curated record